GAACACCAAAGGCGAAGGCAUUGCACUGGGCUGGUACUGACCCUGAGAGACGAAAGCGUGGGGAGCAAAACGGAUUAGAUACCCGUGUAGUCCACGCCGUAAACGAUGGAUACUAGAUGUUCGGGGAUUCGACCCCCUGGGUGUCACAGCUGACGCGUUAAGUAUCCCGCCUGGGAAGUACGGCCGCAAGGCUAAAACUCAAAGGAAUAGACGGGGAUCCGCACAAGCGGUGGAGCGUCUGGUUUAAUUUGAUAGUAAGCAAUGGACCUCACCAAGGUUUGACAUCCUAUGACAACCCUGGAAACAGGGCUUCCUUCGGGCAUAGUGACAGGUGCUGCAUGGUCGUCGUCAGUUCGUGCCGUGAGGUGUUCCGUUAAGUCGGGAAACGAACGAAACCCUCGUCGCAUGUUACAAAUUUCAUGCGAGACUGCCCGGGUCAACCGGGGGGAAGGCGGGGAUGACGUCAGAUCAGCAUGGCCCUUAUACCUUGGGCUACACAGGCGCUACAAUGGCCGGUACAAAGGGUUGCAAAACCGCGAGGUGAAGCUAAUCCCAUAAAGCCGGUCCAAGUUCGGAUUGGAGGCUGCAACUCGCCUCCAUGAAGUUGGAAUCGCUAGUAAUCGUGGAUCAGCCAUACCACGGUGAAUACGUUCCCGGAUCUUGUACUCACCGCCCGUCACACCAAGAGAGUUGGUAGCUCCUGAAGCGUCGCAUUAGCGGCACCACGGAGAGAUCAGCGAUAGGGGUGAAGUCGUAACAAGGUAACC
RNAcentral lists this ribosomal RNA (767 nucleotides) under uncultured organism. RNAcentral describes it as "bacterial SSU rRNA". It matches the Rfam family "Bacterial small subunit ribosomal RNA", at positions 704 to 1501 of the family's 1533-position model. The record is from RNAcentral.